Molecule: long non-coding RNA, 772 nt
Organism: Lotus japonicus
Lineage: Eukaryota; Viridiplantae; Streptophyta; Magnoliopsida; Fabales; Fabaceae
Exons: 3
Source: RefSeq, a predicted model, not a curated record
AAUUAAAGAUGUAAUUACAAUAAUCAUGCUGAGAUAAUUUUUUUGACCUAGAAUCAAUAUCUAAACCCCAAAUCAACCUCUCCUCCGCCGUGUUCAUCAUCCUCUCCCAUCGCCGCCUUGUUGGUUCAUCAUCGUCGCCCGUGUUCAUUAUCAUCUUCCCCUAUCUACCCGCGCCGUCCAUCAUCCUCUCCCCCUCGCCGCCGCGCCGGUUCAUCGUCGCCGUCCAGUGUUCAUUAUCAUCUUCUCCUAUCUACCCGCGCCGUCAGUGUUCAUCAGCUUCUGCGUUCGUCAGCUUCAGCAUCUCCUUCGUGCUCACUCGUUGUCUCUUCGCUCCUUACUCGUUUUCUCUUUCGUUCUCUGCACUUUAUUCCUCCUUGGUCCUUCUUCUUCAAAGUUCAAAUUUGCAGUCAACUUGUGGAAUUUCCAGAAAUUUUACCUGCAAUCAGUUCAUGAUGACCGAUUUGUCCGAUGAUGAGAUGCACUUUAAGAAUGUGUAUGAAGGAAUGCCUAAGGAUACUGAAGCGGGUGACGAUGACGUUAAUUCAAUUGAGGAUAUUGAUGAUUCUGAUUUGUAUUUUAUGUUUACGUUUUUUGUGGCCUUAGGAGCAGUUGGGGACUAAGUCUAUUGCUUCUUAAGUGAAUAAACAAUUGAUUUGAUUAAAUUUUCAAUGUUCUUCAUUCCUGUCAUAUGUAAACAAUUUUUUUUGCCAUUUUACUUCUUAUGGGUUUUAUUCAAGCAGGUUUACUUGGUAAAAAUAUCUUCCUAUUUCAA